GACGAACGCUGGCGGCGUGCUUAACACAUGCAAGUCGAACGAAGAGCGAUGGAAGCUUGCUUCUAUCAAUCUUAGUGGCGAACGGGUGAGUAACGCGUAAUCAACCUGCCCUUCAGAGGGGGACAACAGUUGGAAACGACUGCUAAUACCGCAUACGAUCUAAUCUCGGCAUCGAGGAAAGAUGAAAGGUGGCCUCUAUUUAUAAGCUAUCACUGAAGGAGGGGAUUGCGUCUGAUUAGCUAGUUGGAGGGGUAACGGCCCACCAAGGCGAUGAUCAGUAGCCGGUCUGAGAGGAUGAACGGCCACAUUGGGACUGAGACACGGCCCAGACUCCUACGGGAGGCAGCAGUGGGGAAUCUUCCGCAAUGGACGAAAGUCUGACGGAGCAACGCCGCGUGAGUGAUGACGGCCUUCGGGUUGUAAAGCUCUGUUAAUCGGGACGAAAGGCCUUCUUGCGAACAGUUAGAAGGAUUGACGUACCGGAAUAGAAAGCCAC
Molecule: ribosomal RNA, 496 nt
Filed under: Veillonella dispar
Lineage: Bacteria; Bacillati; Bacillota; Negativicutes; Veillonellales; Veillonellaceae
Description: bacterial SSU rRNA
Rfam family: Bacterial small subunit ribosomal RNA
Source: RNAcentral